This is a non-coding RNA of Cladochytrium replicatum, 73 nucleotides long. Lineage: Eukaryota; Fungi; Chytridiomycota; Chytridiomycetes; Cladochytriales; Cladochytriaceae. The record is from the annotation of a GenBank genome assembly.
UCCUUCGUGGUCCAGUGGCUAGGAUUUCUCGCUCUCACCGAGACGGCCCGGGGUUCGAUUCCCGGCGAGGGAG